UUGAUUUAUUCAAAAAUUUAACUCAGACGACCGGUUUAUUAACAAGAGUUUGGUUUAACUCUGGCGGGAACUCGCCUGGGCUUUUGAGGGCCCCGGCGGCUCGGACGGACCGAAGCGGUCCCGCCAAAGCAACAAGGUGGUUAUAACAACAAAGGGUUGGAGGUCGGGCGCCGAGGCACCCUUACUCUUUAAUGAUCCUUCCGCAGGUUCACCUACGGAAA
RNAcentral lists this unclassified non-coding RNA (221 nucleotides) under uncultured fungus. RNAcentral describes it as "sequence contains ITS1". Lineage: Eukaryota; Fungi. The record is from RNAcentral.